Molecule: ribosomal RNA, 406 nt
Filed under: uncultured bacterium
Lineage: Bacteria
Description: partial 16S ribosomal RNA
Rfam family: Bacterial small subunit ribosomal RNA
Source: RNAcentral
AUUGAACGCUGGCGGCAGGCCUAACACAUGCAAGUCGAACGAGUGGCGGACGGGUGAGUAAUGUCUGGGAAACUGCCUGAUGGAGGGGGAUAACUACUGGAAACGGUAGCUAAUACCGCAUACCAUCGGAUGUGCCCAGAUGGGAUUAGCUUGUUGGUGGGGUAACGGCUCACCAAGGCGACGAUCCCUAGCUGGUCUGAGAGGAUGACCAGCCACACUGGAACUGAGACACGGUCCAGACUCCUACGGGAGGCAGCAGUGGGGAAUAUUGCACAAUGGGCGAAAGCCGGAUGCAGCCAUGCCGCGUGUAUGAAGAAGGCCUUCGGGUUGUAAAGUACUUUCAGCGGGGAGGCGUUACCCGAAGAAGAAGCACCGGCUAACUCCGUGCCAGCAGCCGCGGUAAUUC